Molecule: ribosomal RNA, 371 nt
Filed under: Klebsiella pneumoniae
Lineage: Bacteria; Pseudomonadati; Pseudomonadota; Gammaproteobacteria; Enterobacterales; Enterobacteriaceae
Description: bacterial SSU rRNA
Rfam family: Bacterial small subunit ribosomal RNA
Source: RNAcentral
ACUUAAAUUGAAGAGUUUGAUCAUGGCUCAGAUUGAACGCUGGCGGCAGGCCUAACACAUGCAAGUCGAGCGGUAGCACAGAGAGCUUGCUCUCGGGUGACGAGCGGCGGACGGGUGAGUAAUNGUCUGGGAAACUGCCUGAUGGAGGGGGGUAACUACUGGAAACGGUAGCUAAUACCGCAUAACGUCGCAAGACCAAAGUGGGGGACCUUCGGGCCUCAUGCCAUCAGAUGUGCCCAGAUGGGAUUAGCUAGUAGGUGGGGUAACGGCUCACCUAGGCGACGAUCCCUAGCUGGUCUGAGAGGAUGACCAGCCACACUGGAACUGAGACACGGUCCAGACUCCUACGGGAGGCAGCAGUGGGGAAUAUU